GAUGAACGCUGGCGGCGUGCUUAACACAUGCAAGUCGAACGGUGAAGGCGGAGCUUGCUCUGCUGGAUCAGUGGCGAACGGGUGAGUAACACGUGAGCAAUCUGCCCCUGACUCUGGGAUAAGCGCUGGAAACGGCGUCUAAUACUGGAUACGAGCUGCGAAGGCAUCUUCAGCAGCUGGAAAGAACUUCGGUCAGGGAUGAGCUCGCGGCCUAUCAGCUUGUUGGUGAGGUAAGGGCUCACCAAGGCGUCGACGGGUAGCCGGCCUGAGAGGGUGACCGGCCACACUGGGACUGAGACACGGCCCAGACUCCUACGGGAGGCAGCAGUGGGGAAUAUUGCACAAUGGGCGAAAGCCUGAUGCAGCAACGCCGCGUGAGGGACGACGGCCUUCGGGUUGUAAACCUCUUUUAGCAGGGAAGAAGCGAAAGUGACGGUACCUGCAGAAAAAGCGCCGGCUAACUACGUG
This 468-nucleotide ribosomal RNA is filed under the name uncultured bacterium. RNAcentral's name for it is "partial 16S ribosomal RNA". It matches the Rfam family "Bacterial small subunit ribosomal RNA", at positions 28 to 507 of the family's 1533-position model. The record is from RNAcentral.